UACGUAGGGGGCUAGCGUUGUCCGGAAUCAUUGGGCGUAAAGCGCGCGUAGGCGGCCCGGUAAGUCCGCUGUAAAAGUCCAGGGCUCAACCCUGGAACGCCGGUGGAUACUGUCGGGCUAGAGUCCGGAAGAGGCGAGUGGAAUUCCUGGUGUAGCGGUGGAAUGCGCAGAUAUCGGAAGGAACACCUGUGGCGAAAGCGGCUCACUGGACCAUAACUGACGCUGAGGCGCGAAAGCUAGGGGAGCAAACAGG
RNAcentral lists this ribosomal RNA (253 nucleotides) under uncultured bacterium. Its description in RNAcentral is "partial 16S ribosomal RNA". It matches the Rfam family "Bacterial small subunit ribosomal RNA", at positions 524 to 776 of the family's 1533-position model. The record is from RNAcentral.